RNAcentral lists this ribosomal RNA (292 nucleotides) under uncultured bacterium. RNAcentral's name for it is "partial 16S ribosomal RNA". The record is from RNAcentral.
GGACUACCAGGGUUUCUAAUCCUGUUUGCUCCCCACGCUUUCGCACCUCAGCGUCAGUAUCAGUCCAAGAAGCCGCCUUCGCCACUGGUGUUCCUUCCGGUAUCUACGCAUUUCACCGCUACUCCGGAAAUUCCGCUUCUCUCUACUAUACUCUAGCCGAACAGUUUGAUAUGCAAUUCCCAGGUUAAGCCCGGGGCUUUCACACACCACUUAUUCAACCGCCUACGUGCCCUUUACGCCCAGUAAUUCCGAUUAACGCUUGCACCCUCUGUAUUACCGCGGCUGCUGGCAC